Molecule: long non-coding RNA, 2019 nt
Organism: Spinacia oleracea (spinach)
Lineage: Eukaryota; Viridiplantae; Streptophyta; Magnoliopsida; Caryophyllales; Amaranthaceae
Exons: 5
Source: RefSeq, a predicted model, not a curated record
CAGGAUCUUGAAUAGUUGAUCAAAUAUUACGUUAGAUAUGAGUCUGCCGCAGUCAGGUGCAUAUGCAGGUUUUACAUUUGUUCUAUGUUGCUGAGGUCCUGAGUUGUCUGCUACAAGUUGAAAAUUCAAGGCUUAGUCUACAAUCUAUAUGAAAUGCACUAAAAAGGCAUCUCCAACCCAAAUACGGAAUCACCAGAAGUCUCCUCAAAAGUUGCACUUGCUGAUGAAGAUGCCAGGUGUGAGAAUUCUGACUAGAAACUAUAUGCUGAUGUUUCAACUAUCAGUUCAAAGGAGGAAUUGGUAAAGCAGCAAAGUUGCAGAAUAUACGUUACAGGUUGGGAAAAGGCUGAUAAGAGGUAGUCACUUUAAAUCAGCAGCUUGAUACUGCAACAAAGAAAAAAAUUUCACUUGAGGAGUUGAGGAUAGGAUAGUUCAUCAUGAUGGGGCACUCAAGGGUGUUCGAGGCAGUUGCGACUUGUGAGAGGAGCAAGAUGAGAAUAUUCAAGAAGCCGUUUCUAAUAAGUCACGGGAUAAAGGUAAUCUGACUAUGAGUCGAGCCAUUAAGAAGGGAAGAGGCAGAAUCUAUGCAUAAACCAAUUGAGGACGAGCGAGAAACACUACUGACUGGAAUCAGGGGUUCUCUAGAGAGUGAGACUUCAAGGAGAGGGCAUUGUACGCAUAGUCUUCAGCAAAGUGUCGGGCUUUGGAAGAUGAGCUUGCUAUAAUGAAACAUGAACUCCCCCAAUGAAAAAUCAGUUUUUGCACCUACGAAAGACUUGAAGGAGGCAGGUGAGCAAGAAGCAACAAAAUAACAUUUUAAACAUGUAAAUGCUGAGACCAAAUCACUGCUUGCUAAGAUUGGACUUUUGGAGAAGGCAGUCGAAAAGGAGACAGUUGUCUGCAGAGUGUAGUGUUAAGUGUAAAAUGUCAAUGAGCUUUUGAAAAUGAAACAUGAUGCUGACACCUGGUGAAGUCAAUUAGCUCCAACGGCAGGCUCAAAGGAUGAUGUCAAUCAAGAACUUCACAUGACAAAUAAAAAGAAAGAAGAAGCAUGAUAUUGUUAAUCAAGAGCUUCAGAUGACAGAUGCAAAGAAACAAGGAGAAGAGGCACAACUUAAAGUCGUACUUGUCAAAGUUGGUUGGUUCCUUGGAGCAUAAGGUGGAAAAGGAGAGGGCAAGGUCUUCUGAGUUCUGAGUUAGCUGCCAAGUGUAGGAAGUUAGAAUUUCAGGUUUCAGCCUUGAUAUCUGGAGCUAUAAUUCAGCUUUCAUACUUCAAAUCUAAAGCUGAAUUUUUGCUUUCACCAAUCUCAAAGGAAGAUUUGGAUAAACAUCAGAUUGUCAUAAUGGAGGUACCAAACAUAAAGAAUCAAAAGGGAUGGAGAGGAGUACCAUAUAGCGGGAGAGUGCAUUCAAUUGCUUGGGACGGUUCAGUACAAGUAAUUUCACAAAUUGCUUGUCCUGAACCAAACCUGGAAAGAAAAAAUGAAAAUCAAUCCCACAGCAAAGACAUUUGGCAAAACGGCAGAUAGUAGCAACUAAAUACCUUCCGCUUAGAAACUAUAAAACCAUCAAGUAUGGAAAAAAAUGUGUACACAACCAUUUGCACUAAAAUCUUCAUUCAACUCCAAAACAAAUAUAAAGAAAACAUGGCUACCCUACAAACCCUGAUUCAGCAGCUGUUACUACUUAAGUCUUGUGCAAUUUGGCACAAGGGAAAGUUCCCCAAUCUGGUACCAAAUGUGUAUGUAAUAGUCAGAUUACAGCAUCAAAAAGAUUGCAGCAUACUAACAAUACUCAGAUUGCAGCAUAAUUGAAGGCCAAGUUAUAGUUCAGUUUUAAUUUUUUUACCUCUGUAUACCAGUAAACUGCAGUCAUAUAAUCAUUUAUUCUGGUGGCUUGUGCUCCAUUUUCUUUUGCUUCUAAGAAUUUUAUUUCAGCUUGGAGUUCCCGCUGUAAGUUAUGGAACAUGGUAACAAUAAACCAUCAAAUGCAACCCCAAAAACUAACAUAAGUAAAUUU